This 460-nucleotide ribosomal RNA is filed under the name uncultured bacterium. Its description in RNAcentral is "partial 16S ribosomal RNA". It matches the Rfam family "Bacterial small subunit ribosomal RNA", at positions 338 to 795 of the family's 1533-position model. The record is from RNAcentral.
CCUACGGGCGGCAGCAGUGAGGAAUAUUGGUCAAUGGGCGUAAGCCUGAACCAGCCAAGUCGCGUGAGGGAUGAAGGUUCUAUGGAUCGUAAACCUCUUUUAUAAGGGAAUAAAGUGUGGGUCGUUUCCUGUUUUGUAUGUCCCUUAUGAAUAAGGAUCGGCUAACUCCGUGACAGCAGCCGCGGUAAUACGGAGGAUCCGAGCGUUAUCCGGAUGUAUGGGGUUUAAAGGGUGCGUAGGCGGCCUUUUAAGUCACCGGGGAAAGUCUGUGGCUCAACCAUAGAAUUGCCGUUGAAACUGGGAGGCUUGAGUAUGUUUGAGGCAGGCGGAAUGCGUGGUGUAGCGGUGAAAUGCGUAGAUAUCACGCAGAACCCCGAUUGCGAAGGCAGCCUGCCAAGCCAUGACUGACGCUGAGGCACGAAAGCGUGGGGAUCAAACAGGAUUAGAUACCCGAGUAGUC